UAGCCGUAAACGAUACUCGCUAGGUGUCGGCCACGGUGCGACCGUUGUCGGUGCCGUAGGGAAGCCGUGAAGCGAGCCACCUGGGAAGUACGGCCGCAAGGCUGAAACUUAAAGGAAUUGGCGGGGGAGCACCGCAACGGGAGGAGCGUGCGGUUCAAUUGGAUUCAACGCCGAAAAACUCACCAGGAGCGACGGAUAUAUGAAGGUCAAGCUGAUGACUUUACCUGAUUUUCCGAGAGGAGGUGCAUGGCGUAGUCGUGU
This 261-nucleotide ribosomal RNA is filed under the name uncultured archaeon. RNAcentral's name for it is "partial 16S ribosomal RNA". It matches the Rfam family "Archaeal small subunit ribosomal RNA", at positions 748 to 1009 of the family's 1478-position model. The record is from RNAcentral.